GCGGUUUGAGAUGAGCCCGCGUCCUAUCAGGUUGUUGGUGGGGUAAUGGCCUACCAAGCCUAUAACGGGUAACUGGUCUGAGAGGAUGGCCAGUCAGACUGGGACUGAGACACGGCCCAG
This 120-nucleotide ribosomal RNA is filed under the name uncultured bacterium. RNAcentral describes it as "partial 16S ribosomal RNA". It matches the Rfam family "Bacterial small subunit ribosomal RNA", at positions 215 to 334 of the family's 1533-position model. The record is from RNAcentral.